Molecule: non-coding RNA, 28 nt
Filed under: Mus musculus (house mouse)
Lineage: Eukaryota; Metazoa; Chordata; Mammalia; Rodentia; Muridae
Also listed under: 28 other names
Source: RNAcentral
UACCUGGUUGAUCCUGCCAGUAGUCAUA